This 253-nucleotide ribosomal RNA is filed under the name uncultured prokaryote. Its description in RNAcentral is "partial 16S ribosomal RNA". It matches the Rfam family "Bacterial small subunit ribosomal RNA", at positions 524 to 776 of the family's 1533-position model. The record is from RNAcentral.
UACGGGGGGGGCGAGCGUUGUUCGGAAUUACUGGGCGUAAAGGGUUUGUAGGUGGUCUGCUAAGUCAGACGUGAAAUCCCUCAGCUUAACUGGGGAACUGCGUCUGAUACUGGCGGACUUGAGGACAGGAGAGGAACGCGGAAUUCCAGGUGUAGCGGUGAAAUGCGUAGAUAUCAAGAGGAACACCAGUGGCGAAGGCGAGUCCCUGGACAAUACCUGACACUGAGGCACGAAAGCCAAGGGAGCAAACAGG